UUAUUCUGCCGGUCCCCCCAUGGAAGACUAGUGAUUUUGUUGUUGUAAUCAAAAGAAAACAUAAAAUCACUGUCUGCCACUGGGGUGGCUGGCC
RNAcentral lists this microRNA precursor (94 nucleotides) under Patiria miniata (bat star). RNAcentral describes it as "microRNA pmi-mir-7 precursor". Its record names the gene pmi-mir-7. It matches the Rfam family "mir-7 microRNA precursor family". From Rfam's summary of the family: This family represents the microRNA (miRNA) precursor mir-7. In this case the mature sequence comes from the 5' arm of the precursor. The record is from miRBase by way of RNAcentral. Lineage: Eukaryota; Metazoa; Echinodermata; Asteroidea; Valvatida; Asterinidae.